UGAAGUGAUUACACACACCAUAAGAACUUUACUAGCUAACCUGCCUACAUCAGAAUCGCUUACGCUGGCUCCGUUGUCUACACAGACCAACAUAGCGGAUAUGCGGGCUUCUGAAACCUCGAUAAUGACUUUGCUUUACCACCUCUCAGACCCCUCCAUCCACCAUGGCAACCAGUCUACAGUCACUAACAACCAAAGCCCAGACCACUGCAUGAUACACAAACCAUGCUGCGUGCACAGAACAAUAUUGUGGGUUGUGCACCGUCUGACAUCACAAUGCCAGGGCUUGUAAUGCCACGGAGCAAAAGGGGGAUAAGGCCAAUAUAUUUCCAUGACGCAGCAUGUGCUGCACCACGCAGCACCAGAGCCACUGACAAAACACUGAGUCAAGCGUCAUGCCAGCAGCAAGAUGUGGCAAAACAUGGGCGAGGGCAAGCUAAACCCAGUCGCCGCCCACUAAGCAAAGAGGCUGCCCUGUCCAACCAAAGACAGCCCUCGUUUGUUUCUUUCUCCCCUUUCUCUCUCUCUCUCCCUAUUAUCUGUACCAGGAUGUUGCUGUGGUUUGCAGUGCCGUGCUGUCAGCCAAAGAGAGGACAGCUGCCACCGAGAAAACCGCUGAGACUCCUGACUACCGAUGACAGGGCACACUACCCCAGCACUGUAACCGAAUACAGCUGUACAAGGUUCCGAUGGAGAGAGGACUCCCUCACUCACACUGAGGCCGAUGUCGAAUACAUGUUCAGCCAACAUGAGAAAGUGACUGUUACACAAAUGGAGUUAAGUGGACACCACCACCGCUCCAAACAGUUCCCGGGAGCUUUGCUUAGAGCCGCUGCUGCCACCAGAAUGUUUAACAUUGGUAUGUCCAGUGUCAAUGCAGCGAACCAGACUGUAAACUCCUUGAAACCACUGUUUACUGUCUUCCAGAAGAACUUUACCCAGACUCAGCUGUUUACAGCAUUAACAACAGACAUGCUGUGGGAGGUUAGCUCCUCCAAAGACAGCCUAACCAUGAGUAAAACCCCAC
RNAcentral lists this long non-coding RNA (1027 nucleotides) under Carassius auratus (goldfish). RNAcentral's name for it is "lncRNA (ENSCARG00000047335.1)". Lineage: Eukaryota; Metazoa; Chordata; Actinopteri; Cypriniformes; Cyprinidae. The record is from RNAcentral.